This 253-nucleotide ribosomal RNA is filed under the name uncultured bacterium. RNAcentral describes it as "partial 16S ribosomal RNA". It matches the Rfam family "Bacterial small subunit ribosomal RNA", at positions 524 to 776 of the family's 1533-position model. The record is from RNAcentral.
UACGUAGGCAGCGAGCGUUGUUCGGAAUUACUGGGCGGAAAGAGUGUGUAGGCGGCGCUCUAAGUUCGGUGUGAAAUCUCUCGGCUUAACUGGGAGGGUGCGCCGGAAACUGGAGUGCUCGAACGUGGGAGAGGAAAGCGGAAUUCCUGGUGUAGCGGUGAAAUGCGUAGAUAUCAGGAGGAACACCUGCGGUGUAGACGGCUUUCUGGACCAUUGUUGACGCUGAGACACGAAAGCGUGGGUAGCAAACAGG